This 468-nucleotide ribosomal RNA is filed under the name uncultured bacterium. Its description in RNAcentral is "partial 16S ribosomal RNA". It matches the Rfam family "Bacterial small subunit ribosomal RNA", at positions 28 to 507 of the family's 1533-position model. The record is from RNAcentral.
GACGAACGCUGGCGGCGUGCUUAACACAUGCAAGUCGAACGGAAAGGCCCUGCUUUUGUGGGGUACUCGAGUGGCGAACGGGUGAGUAACACGUGAGUAACCUGCCCUUGACUUUGGGAUAACUUCAGGAAACUGGGGCUAAUACCGGAUAGGAGCUCCUGCUGCAUGGUGGGGGUUGGAAAGUUUCGGCGGUUGGGGAUGGACUCGCGGCUUAUCAGCUUGUUGGUGGGGUAGUGGCUUACCAAGGCUUUGACGGGUAGCCGGCCUGAGAGGGUGACCGGCCACAUUGGGACUGAGAUACGGCCCAGACUCCUACGGGAGGCAGCAGUGGGGAAUAUUGCACAAUGGGCGGAAGCCUGAGGCAGCAACGCCGCGUGCGGGAUGACGGCCUUCGGGUUGUAAACCGCUUUCGCCUGUGACGAAGCGUGAGUGACGGUAAUGGGUAAAGAAGCACCGGCUAACUACGUG